This is a long non-coding RNA of Oncorhynchus keta (chum salmon), 1412 nucleotides long. RefSeq lists it as uncharacterized. The transcript has 2 exons. Lineage: Eukaryota; Metazoa; Chordata; Actinopteri; Salmoniformes; Salmonidae. The record is from RefSeq and is a predicted model, not a curated record.
GAACCAUGAAAAACUGCCCCAGACCAUUAUUCCUCCUUCACCAAACUUACAGUUGGCACUAUGUAUCAAGGCAGGUAGUGUUUUCCAUCUGCCAAACCCAGAUUGGUUCGUUGGACUGCCAGGUGGUGAAGCGUGAUUCACUAAAGCGUUUCUACUAGUCCAGAGUCCAAUGGCGGCAAGCUUUACACCACUCCAACGAACAGUUUAUUGUGCUGACGUUGAUUCCAGAAGCAGUUUGGAACUUGGUAGUGAGUGAUGCAACACGAAGACAAACAAGUUUUUACACGCCAAUGCGCUUCAGCACUCGGUGGUCCUCUUCUGUGAGUUUGUGUGGCUCAAUGUACUCAAUUUGAUACACAUGUCAGCAACGGGUGUGGCUGAAAUAGCCGUAUCCACUCUUGUAGGGGUGUCCUCAUACUUUUGUGUAUAUAUGGUGUAUGUCUUAUUCUCCAGGUGUUAAGAGUGGGACGGGUCAGGCCUACCAGACUGUCACAACUCUUUUUGACAGAGAAGAUUAUUUAUGUCUCUGUGCUCCAAUGGUUUUUCUUUAAUUUAGACAUAGAAAACGGUAUUUACUGCCGUUGAAUACCUAUGCCAGGGUUCCCCAAAUAGCGGUCCAUGGGCCGAAUUUGGCCUGCGUGUGGUUUUAUUUGGCCCCCAAUGUUUUCUGAGCAAAAACGCUAUUAUUUUUUUAUAUCUUUUUUUUAUAUUGUUGGACAUAAGACUGUAAAAACGUCUGGAAAUCAGCUCCAAGUUAUUUUAAGUUUCGACAUCUGUUCCUAAAUAGCUUCCUGAAAUGAUUGUUUUAAUCUAAAAUUCUUUCUGUUUGGGAUUCUUGCGGUCAAUUUGAAGUCUACAAAUAUUUGUAAUUAUGUUCCAGCCCCCCGAACAUCCUAAAAAAUGAGCCUGUGGCUAGAUCCAGUUGACGAUCCCUUCUCUAUGGUUGGGAAACAGAUAUUGUGGAAUUGUGAGUGCAUGAUAACAAGAACCUUGAAAAUGCUACCAUCCCAAUCAAACCCUCUUCAGUUGAAUGGAACGCCCCAAGAUUUCUGAUGGACCCUUCACAACAGUCUUUAAUUUGGUUCUUUCCAUUAAAAAUAUAACUUCAGAUGGCUUAUGUAGGAAUAAUCCAUGUUACAAUCAGAAUUUGUGAUGUUUGAAGGGGAGGUGAGAGUCAUACAUCAAUGUCUUUGAUAUCAAUGGAGAAAAUCUACAUCAUGUAGACAGGAGAGGAGUACUUUUUAAACAUGUUAAAUAAUUAUUGAAAGCUAUCUAAAUAAGAAUUAUCGACAGAUGUGCUCUACCUUUACCUGCCUUGUGUUUGUGUAAAUGACAGUACAUUCCAUGUCUAUUUAUAUAUGAUAACUGUACAUAUGCAUUGAGAACUUUAUAAAUCACUGGGUAUAAAAUCA